CUGCCCGCGUGGCGUUGACGUGGCGCUGGCGUGGCAGGGGCAGGACCAUUUUUGCAAAUAAUUUUUGGACGGGGCUAUUUUUGUAAAUAAAAUUUAUCAGGGAGCUAUUUGCAAAAAAAACCCUUUUAAGUCGGAAUCCAGACUAUAAAAUUCGAAAUUCGAAUCUGAAUCGAAUUCGAUAGAUUUUAAAAAUUUAUAUCCAAAAUCGAAUCUCUUUAAAAUCUGAAAUUCGAAUUCGAAAAUCGUAAUCCCAAAUAAUUAUUUCUUCUUAUCAUAUUUCAAAAUAUAUUAUAUUAAAUCUAAAAUUUUAAAAUAUAAAUUCAAAUAUAACAUGGAACAAUAUAUUAUAUAAUGUACAAUCAAAUCGGAUUCGAGUCGGGUUUGGUUUCGAAUCAAAUACAAAUAAAAUCCAUAUCUGAGACCAAAUUCGUCAAAUUUUUAUUUUUUAUAUUCUUAUCCGAAAUUAUAUCAAUUUAGUAUCAGAUAAAUCCGUCCUUUUUGAGUUCAGAUUUGAAUAAAAUUUGGUAUCAAUCUAAAGAGGUUGAAGCGUGGGGAUUAUAAUCUUCUGGAAGAUACUCUGUAGUCUUUACCACGUCCUCCCGCCCCGGACCUAUAAAUCACGGCCCAUGAUGGCCGAAUACAGUGAUUACGACCCAUGAUGGCCCACUGAGACGUUCACUCCAAAAAUUUUAACAUAUAGCAGCAUUAUUUAUAGUAAUAUUUUUGUAAAUAUUAAUAAAUAUAAAAUUUAUUGGAUAUGAAAGAUUGUUAUGGUAUUUAUUGGUAUUUAUAAAUUGCUAUUAGUAAAUAAGUGUAUUUAAUAAUAUUUAUUUUUAAAUGUCGGUAAAAAAUAAUUAAAUUAUAGGAAGUUAUAUUUAAUAAUGCCUCUAAGAGGAUUUGAUUACCAAUAUUUAAAAUUAAAUAUUGAUGAAAGGUGUUAUGUCCAAUGUCCUACUAUUUAUUUCCUUCCGCCUCAAACUUCCUCCUUAUCAGGAAUAAGCUAUUUUAGGCUACUCCUGAGAUAGGUACAACUCUUGGGGUAAGAAGGAAUAAAAUUAAUUUUGCGUUUGAAUGAGAACUGGAUUUUUCUUCGGAAUAAGAAAAAUAGCGUUUGGAUAUAGUUAGAUUGGAAUAGUAAGGAUAAGAAUAAUUAUAGUUUUAACAUAAUAAUAUUUUAUCUAAUUAAUUAAUACAAAAUAUUAAUUAAAUAAUAAUUCAACUUAUUUAAUUGACUAAUUAAUCAUGAAUAUGGCUAAAUAACCCAAAUGUUAAUUAAUAAAUUAAUUAGUAAUUAAUAAUUUAAUUAAUCACAAGUAAUUUAAUAAAUUAAUAAAUAAAUUAGUUAAUAACAAUAAGAUAAUUAAAUUAGUCAAAAUAUUAAUUAAUUAAUCAAUAUAAAUAUUGAUUAUUGAAUAAGUACACUAAAUAAUUAAUUAUUUAAUUAGCAAAUUAAUUAAAAUAAUUAUUAGAGUAAAUUUAUCUAGUCAAUUAGCAAAUAAAUUAAUAUAUAAUACAUUAAUUAAUUAAUAUUUUAUUAUUAAUUUGGUAGAAGUAUAAGGAGAGGAAUUAUUGUUCCACCAUUUUGGUGGAACAACAAUUCCACCCUCUUAAUUGAUUAUCCUAUAGGGCAUGUUUGGUUCGCACUAUGAAAGAUUACUAGGAGUAAAAAGAUAUUCGAGAAUCUUAUUCCUAUUCAUCCUAUUACUAAGAAUGUGGCAUUCAUGUGUUUGGUUCGCACGGUUAUAUUAUUUAGUUAUGUUAUUUACAUUUACAAAAAAUAUACAAUUAAUUUAUUUAUUUCUUUAAUUAAUUUUAGAUAAUGCUAUAAAAAAUUACAACAUCUUUUUAGAAAAAAUGGAGAGAAAAUAUAGGUUAGAGAGAGAGAGCAUAAUUAAAUAAUAGGAAGAAAAAUGGAGUCAAGAUUAGAGGGAGUGAGGGAGUUGAAAUUUUAGAAAAAGAGGAGGAGGGAGAGCUUAGUUUAGAGAGAGAAAAAUAGUUGAAGUUUAGAGAGAAAAAGAUAAGUUUAGAGAGAAAUAUGAGGUUAGAGUGUAAAGGAUAAUAAUACUAACUAGCCGGCGGGUAGGGAGAAAGAAAGAGAUUAGACAUAUUAUGAUUACCUAAUUCAUUAAUAUGAGGAUACCCACUCUCCCGCAAGGGAAUGAGAUUAGUACUUUGGGAUGAAUCUUAUUCCCAAGUGAAUCUAAUAUUACGAACUAGAUUACUUAGUGCCUUUAGCCAAACACCGUCAUAUUUUUUUAUUCUCAUUGCAUUACUAGGAAUCUUAAAAAGAUAGCGCGAACCAAACGCACCCAUAAGGUUAUCCUAGGAUAACGUGUUAAGAGGGGAAUUCAUAAUUUUUUUUUAGAGAUAAAGAGAGGAAUAAGGUCCUUAUUACGCUUAUUCUCCUCUCCUGUUUAUUCUUGAACCAAACAACGUCUAAAUAGUGUU
This 2448-nucleotide long non-coding RNA is filed under the name Ananas comosus (pineapple). RNAcentral describes it as "long non-coding RNA (ACOM_LNC026859)". Lineage: Eukaryota; Viridiplantae; Streptophyta; Magnoliopsida; Poales; Bromeliaceae. The record is from RNAcentral.